GAUGAACGCUAGCGGCAGGCUUAACACAUGCAAGUCGAGGGGUAACGGGGAAGCUUGCUUCCGCCGACGACCGGCGCACGGGUGCGUAACGCGUAUACAAUCUACCUUAUACUGGGGUAUAGCCUUUAGAAAUGAAGAUUAACCCCCCAUAGUCUCUUAGAGUGGCAUCACUUCUAGAGUAAAGGUUACGGUAUAAGAUGAGUAUGCGUUCUAUCAGUUUGUUGGUGUGGUAACGGCACACCAAGACUACGAUAGAUAGGGGCCCUGAGAGGGGGAUCCCCCACACUGGUACUGAGACACGGACCAGACUCCUACGGGAGGCAGCAGUGAGGAAUAUUGGACAAUGGAGGCAACUCUGAUCCAGCCAUGCCGCGUGCAGGAAGACUGCCCUAUGGGUUGUAAACUGCUUUUAUACAGGAAGAAACACCUCUACGUGUAGAGGCUUGACGGUACUGUAAGAAUAAGGAUCGGCUAACUCCGUGCCAGCAGCCGCGGUAAUACGGAGGAUCCAAGCGUUAUCCGGAAUCAUUGGGUUUAAAGGGUCCGUAGGUGGAUAAUUAAGUCAGAGGUGAAAUCUUGCAGCUCAACUGUAAAAUUGCCUUUGAAACUGGUUAUCUUGAGUUAUUAUGAAGUAGUUAGAAUAUGUAGUGUAGCGGUGAAAUGCAUAGAUAUUACAUAGAAUACCAAUUGCGAAGGCAGAUUACUAAUAAUCAACUGACACUGAUGGACGAAAGCGUGGGUAGCGAACAGGAUUAGAUACCCUGGUAGUCCACGCCGUAAACGAUGGUUACUAGCUGUUUGGACUUCGGUCUGAGUGGCUAAGCGAAAGUGAUAAGUAACCCACCUGGGGAGUACGUUCGCAAGAAUGAAACUCAAAGGAAUUGACGGGGGCCCGCACAAGCGGUGGAGCAUGUGGUUUAAUUCGAUGAUACGCGAGGAACCUUACCAGGGCUUAAAUGUAAGUUGCAUUAGUUAGAGAUAGCUAUUUCUUCGGACCACUUACAAGGUGCUGCAUGGUUGUCGUCAGCUCGUGCCGUGAGGUGUCAGGUUAAGUCCUAUAACGAGCGCAACCCCUGUUGUUAGUUGCCAGCGAGUCAUGUCGGGAACUCUAGCAAGACUGCCAGUGCAAACUGUGAGAAAGGUGGGGAUGACGUCAAAUCAUCACGGCCCUUACGUCCUGGGCUACACACGUGCUACAAUGGUAGGUACAGAGAGCAGCCACUGCGCGAGCAGGAGCGAAUCUACAAAACCUAUCUCAGUUCGGAUCGGAGUCUGCAACUCGACUCCGUGAAGCUGGAAUCGCUAGUAAUCGGAUAUCAGCCAUGAUCCGGUGAAUACGUUCCCGGGCCUUGUACACACCGCCCGUCAAGCCAUGGAAGCUGGGAGUGCCUGAAGUCCGUCACCGCAAGGAGCGGCCUAGGGUAAAAUCGGUAACUAGGGC
RNAcentral lists this ribosomal RNA (1441 nucleotides) under uncultured Bacteroidota bacterium. Its description in RNAcentral is "uncultured Bacteroidetes bacterium 16S ribosomal RNA". It matches the Rfam family "Bacterial small subunit ribosomal RNA". Lineage: Bacteria; Pseudomonadati; Bacteroidota. The record is from RNAcentral.